Molecule: non-coding RNA, 66 nt
Organism: Dipodomys ordii (Ord's kangaroo rat)
Lineage: Eukaryota; Metazoa; Chordata; Mammalia; Rodentia; Heteromyidae
Source: Rfam
GGUGGCUCAGUGGUAGAGUGCUUGCCUGGCAUGCAUGAAACCCUGGGGUUCAAUUCCUCAGCACCA